This is an RNA transcript of Cynoglossus semilaevis (tongue sole), 2536 nucleotides long. It is a transcript of the gene named vasoactive intestinal polypeptide receptor-like, with no coding region annotated. NCBI's taxonomy places the organism in Eukaryota, Metazoa, Chordata, Actinopteri, Pleuronectiformes, Cynoglossidae. The record is from RefSeq and is a predicted model, not a curated record. The transcript is spliced from 14 exons.
UCGCGAGUGCUACACUCGAGGAUAUGUCGGCGAAAGUUUCAAAUGGAAUUUUAUUUAUUCUCGCCAGUGUGUUGCCGGUAACAGUGGCGGCCAUGCAGAAUCAGAUGUGUGAGAUGAUGAGAGAAAUUGACCGAGAGAGAGAAGCGUGUGAAGCUCAAAUUGAGAACAGAACAACAGGUUGCAGUGGAACCUGGGAUAAGAUCACCUGUUGGCCCAGCGCAGACACUGGAGAAGUGGUUACCAUCCCUUGCCCUAAGUAUCUCUUCUACUUCUCUGGGCACAUUUUUUCACGCAACUUGUCAAAGACCUGCACCAAGGAUGGAUGGACCCCCUUCAGUAUAGAUUCCUACAUAAUGGACUGCGGAUACAAUCCCAACAGCACCUUCGAUGACAAUACAGGAGAAUUCUUCUUCGCUAUUAAAGUCGGUUACACCAUCGGUCACAGCGUGUCGCUCAUUUCACUUAGCGUCGCCAUCGUUACCCUCUGUCUCUUCAGGAAGCUGCACUGCACCAGAAACUACAUUCACAUUCAUCUGUUUGUGUCCCUCAUCCUUAAAGCGGUGGCUGUUUUCAUUAAGGAUGUGGUCCUGUACGACGUUGGUGAAACAGAAAAUUGCCAGGGAUCGGUGGGCUGUAAGGCAGUGGUGGUCUUCUUCCAGUACGGCAUCAUGGCCAGUUACUUCUGGCUUUUGGUAGAGGGCCUCUAUCUCUACACUCUUUUGGUUGUCUCCUUCUUCUCUGAGAAAAAGUACUUCUGGUGGUACAUCCUGAUUGGAUGGGGAGUUCCUACUAUCUUCAUCGCCGCCUGGGUGAUUACCAAGACCUUAUCAAAUGAUCCUGGAUGUUGGGAGACAAUUGACGACAGCUCGUGGUGGAUCGUCAAAACUCCUAUUUUAGCGACUAUACUUGUGAAUUUUUUCCUUUUCACUUUUAUCAUCCGGAUUUUGCUACAGAAGAUGAACAGUCCAGACAUUGGCAGAAAGGAAUCCAAUCAAUACUUAAGACUGGCUAAAUCCACGCUCUUGUUGAUACCUCUUUUUGGGAUCAACUACAUCAUUUUCGCCUUUAUUCCUGACCACAUACAUCCUCACAUCAGGAUGGUGUUCGACCUUAUCCUGGGGUCAUUUCAGGGCUUUGUUGUUGCGGUUUUGUACUGCUUUCUGAAUGGAGAGGUGCAGAUAGAAAUUAGGCGUAAAUGGCGCAGGUGGAUGCUGCAGAGAUUCCUGGGCACUGACUCUAAACACCAGCACCCCUCUACAGGCAGCAAUGGGAACAACUUGAGCACCCACAUAACUAUGCUGACCAAAAGCAGCCCUUCGAUGCAACGUACUUCUGCAUAUCAGGUGCAUUACUCUGCCAUCUGAAGCUCAACUUUAUGGACUUUUUCUAUUUAUUUUUUAUUUUUUCUUUAUUUACCAUAAAGGUGACGGGUGUUUGAAAGGUGUGACCAAAAGUCAACACGCUAUGGUUCUGAGGCAAAUGUUUGUUCAGUGUAAUUUGAUCCCCGCUGCCUGUCACAUAGCAUCAGGUACAAGGCAGGAAGAAAACCAUGAACUUAUCAGUACUAAGUCUGUUUGCUUAGUUUACCGAUGCUGCAAUAAACUAAGGGAGUUCUGUUAGCUUGACUGAUUUAAAAAAAAAGUUGCAAAUCAAAGACAAGCACCGAUGUAAAUCAACAUAAAAGAAAUGGUGGUCUUGGACCCCAGCAUGUUAUUAUGAAAAGGGUUUAAAAUACUGCAUUUACUGUAUUUUCCAGACUUUCCUGAGUCACCAGCCAAAAAUAUAUAUAUUAUAAAAAUAUAUAUUCAAAUACUAGGCUAUGGGCUGCAGAAUUUGUGGGCUGCUUCUGUGCAUCCUUAGACUCGCCCGCGAUUAUUUUUAUGUUUGGCCCAUAGAAUUUACAUUGGGAUAAUAUUUGUAUGAGGUCAUUGUUGCGAACUUCUUUUAAGACAAAAGUUAUUCAACCUAAAACGACUCUUUGGCUAUGCGUCUUUUUGUUUCAAACCAGUGGUUUGUGAAACAACUGGAAUACAGCAAAGUAAGAGGACAUAUCCAUAAAACUUCUACUAAAAGUUCAACAUCCCAUUGUACUGAUAUGUGUAUAAAGAUCUUUAAAAUGUCGAUACCAUAUUUUAAAUAUCACAAACAGCCAAUACAUGUAAAUAGAUUAUAGUGACUUGUUUGCAUUUGCACUGUUGUAGGUCAAUGUUUUGAACUCAACAUGUUUGCAGAUGAUGAUGAACUGUUGUGUUUUUUUUUUAUAAAUAUUUAUAGAUGAAAUUGACAUCUAGUCAAUAUAUAUUUAUUCAUAUCCACACAAAGAAAAACAAUCAAUAUAACAAACAGAUGUACAUGUCACAGGAUCUGGACAAACAGAAAUGUCUUCUGUUUCCUAUAGACCACGUGUCUAACUCAAGGCCCGGGGGCCAAAUGCGGCCCGCGAAGCCGAUUUGUGUGGCCCGCAGGAGCCUAAAAACCAUUUAGUAAAGUCCGUGCAGCAGAGUUACUUAACCUAAAAAAUUCAAAAAAAAAAAAA